RNAcentral lists this ribosomal RNA (307 nucleotides) under Pireneitega tianchiensis. RNAcentral's name for it is "partial 12S ribosomal RNA". Lineage: Eukaryota; Metazoa; Arthropoda; Arachnida; Araneae; Agelenidae. The record is from RNAcentral.
AAACUAAUUUAAUUUGGCGGCAUUUCAUUUAAUUAGAGGAAUUUGUCUAUUAAUCGAUACUCCACGUUAAAUUUUACUUUACUUAAAAAUUUAUAUACCGCCAUCUUAAGAAUUAAUUUAAAAAUUUUCUUCUCAAUAACUAAUAAAAAGUUAGGUCAAGGUAUAAUCUAUAUUAAAGAAUAAGAUGAAUUACAUUAAAUAAUAUUUAAAGACUAUUUAUAAAAAUAUAAAUAUAAAUAAGAAUUUAAAAGUAAUAUAAUAAUAAUAAUUUUACAUGAUAAAAACAAUAAAUGUGCACACAUCGCCC